This 31-nucleotide transfer RNA is filed under the name Eulampis holosericeus. RNAcentral's name for it is "tRNA-Leu". Lineage: Eukaryota; Metazoa; Chordata; Aves; Apodiformes; Trochilidae. The record is from RNAcentral.
CUUUUAAAGGAUAACAGUUAAUCCACUGGUC